AGCUCCAAUAGCGUAUAUUAAAGUUGUUGCAGUUAAAAAGCUCGUAGUUGGACCUUUGGGUGGGGACGGUGGUGUGCCGCAAGGCGCUACUAGCGUUGCUAGCCAGAUUGGGGGACGGGGUGGUUUUGCCGCCGCGGAAACCCGGGUUACUGUGAAGAAAUUAGAGUGUUUAAAGCAGGCGUAGGCUUGAAUAGAUCAGCAUGGAAUAACAAGUAUGGCGUCGUUCUACUUGUUGGUUUGGGGGGGAAGGCAAUGAUUAAUAGGGCCAGUUGGGGGCAUUAGUAUUCAGUAGUCAGAGGUGAAAUUCUUGGAUUUACUGAAGACUAACUAGAGCGAAAGCAUUUGCCAAGGAUGUUUUCA
Molecule: ribosomal RNA, 360 nt
Filed under: uncultured eukaryote
Lineage: Eukaryota
Description: SSU rRNA
Rfam family: Eukaryotic small subunit ribosomal RNA
Source: RNAcentral